AUACGGAGGGUGCAAGCGUUAUUCGGAAUCACUGGGCGUAAAGGACGCGUAGGCGGGUUGGCAAGUCAGAUGUGAAAUCCUACAGCUUAACUGUAGAACUGCAUUUGAAUCUGCUAACCUAGAGUAUGGGAGGGGGAGAUGGAAUUAGUGGUGUAGGGGUAAAAUCCGUAGAUAUCACUAGGAAUACCGAAAGCGAAGGCGAUCUCCUGGAACAUAACUGACGCUAAGGCGUGAAAGCGUGGGGAGCAAACAGGAUUAGAAACCCUAGUAGUCC
This 274-nucleotide ribosomal RNA is filed under the name uncultured bacterium. Its description in RNAcentral is "partial 16S ribosomal RNA". It matches the Rfam family "Bacterial small subunit ribosomal RNA", at positions 523 to 796 of the family's 1533-position model. The record is from RNAcentral.